This 565-nucleotide ribosomal RNA is filed under the name Fusarium keratoplasticum. RNAcentral's name for it is "eukaryotic LSU rRNA". The stretch from base 199 to 352 matches the Rfam family "5.8S ribosomal RNA". Lineage: Eukaryota; Fungi; Ascomycota; Sordariomycetes; Hypocreales; Nectriaceae. The record is from RNAcentral. RNAcentral also lists the same sequence under 1 other name.
AAGUCGUAACAAGGUCUCCGUUGGUGAACCAGCGGAGGGAUCAUUACCGAGUUAUACAACUCAUCAACCCUGUGAACAUACCUAAAACGUUGCUUCGGCGGGAACAGACGGCCCCGUAACACGGGCCGCCCCCGCCAGAGGACCCCCUAACUCUGUUUCUAUUAUGUUUCUUCUGAGUAAAACAAGCAAAUAAAUUAAAACUUUCAACAACGGAUCUCUUGGCUCUGGCAUCGAUGAAGAACGCAGCGAAAUGCGAUAAGUAAUGUGAAUUGCAGAAUUCAGUGAAUCAUCGAAUCUUUGAACGCACAUUGCGCCCGCCAGUAUUCUGGCGGGCAUGCCUGUUCGAGCGUCAUUACAACCCUCAGGCCCCCGGGCCUGGCGUUGGGGAUCGGCGAGGCGCCCCCUGCGGGCACACGCCGUCCCCCAAAUACAGUGGCGGUCCCGCCGCAGCUUCCAUUGCGUAGUAGCUAACACCUCGCAACUGGAGAGCGGCGCGGCCACGCCGUAAAACACCCAACUUCUGAAUGUUGACCUCGAAUCAGGUAGGAAUACCCGCUGAACUUAA